Non-coding RNA from Leptonychotes weddellii (Weddell seal), 379 nucleotides. Lineage: Eukaryota; Metazoa; Chordata; Mammalia; Carnivora; Phocidae. The record is from RefSeq and is a predicted model, not a curated record.
GAGCCCUUUUAAAAAAAGAACACUUUAGGCAUUUUCAUGGAGAUACUACAUAAGUGGAGAAGAAAAAGAAAAUUGAAGCUUAGUGAAUUUAAGAAAUCUAUUCAAGGAAGACUACACAGUUAAUAAUAACAGAGAACGACAAACCUAUCAGGCUUUAGUACAGCCACACCAAUGGCCUCCAAAGAGAAGAAUACAAUCAGAGAAGGUGGAUCAUGGGAAGAAAACAUCAGAACCUUAAAAAAAUAUUUAUUUUUAUCUAAAAACAGAAAAAAACUAAGUCUUGCAAAUAUUUAACGUAGAGAUUGACACUGGCAUCUCACUAUUAAUGAGUGAAAAGUGUGAGUCAUGCAAUGUGGGGAACAAUUCAGGGAUGUCUUCA